This is a non-coding RNA of Ictidomys tridecemlineatus (thirteen-lined ground squirrel), 3102 nucleotides long. The record is from RefSeq and is a predicted model, not a curated record. NCBI's taxonomy places the organism in Eukaryota, Metazoa, Chordata, Mammalia, Rodentia, Sciuridae.
GCCUAGGGAAGUGGAGGCUGAGGCUCUGGAAGCUGAGCAGCUCAGCUGGGCUUUGAACCUGCCUUGAGCUUUCCUGAGCAGCAUGGCCGCACAGCUGGCCCAGGUAAAGGCAAGCGCUCAGCACAAAUGGACCGGGGACUCUUCCUGCAGCAUCUUUGUUUCUGCAGAAAGAGAAGCCGAUAGCUUCAAAUAGAAACCAGCCCCAAGUCCAACCGGGUGUGGAUUUCCACCAGCUCCCCAGACCUCCUGGUUAAAUGCCAUAGGGUGAAGCCCAUCUCUGACACAAAUGUUCUUUCCGACUUCACAUCCUGCCACCAGUCCUCACUGAAACAAGAGCAUGGAUGGUUCAUUUUCUCUCCCCAUCCUGGUCUGAUAUCAGUAAAGACACGCCCUUUCCUGCAGGGUACAGAUUUCAUUUCCGACACAGGAUCAAGCUCCAUUAGCGCCUGUGAGCAGACAGAACUGGAACCAGAAGAAGUUGGACCCUCUGUCAAAGGUCUGCCAACCUGGUGAUCAUUAGACUCCUCUUUACACCAGAUUGGUUUAGUCAAGCUGCCUGGACACAGUGCUGGCAGGUUGGGUGAGAGGAGUGGUCAGAAUGCAGCUGAACACACAGGACCACUGACAGCCCAGGUGGGUGGGAGGGAGAGAGCUUCAGCAAGGUCUCCUUGGGCUCUACCAGAGUGGCCCAAGGAAGGGGGCACAUUCAGAGGGAAGAGAGUGCACAGCAGCCAGUAUAGGAAAGAAGGCCAAGAGUUCAAUUUGGGGUGAUUAUAGUUUGAGGGGCUGAAGAAGCAUCUGUCCAAUCGAAAACGUUAGGCAGCUGGACGCAGAUCUCCAGGUUCAGGUGGUGGUCAGGACUGCAGAGGUCAACAGUGUAGAGAUGGAACUUAGCCCCCGGGUCUGUUGCAUCUUGACAGAUGUUCUCCCUCGUCUCGUGGUGUUCAUUUCUGUGUCAAUCACUUUCUGUCUAUCUCCAGUUGUGCAGGAAGUGCAACUCAAGACCCUGGUUCCGGGAAUCCACAGCAGACAAGCACUGUCCUGCUGUAGCAUCCACCACCUGCAGGACCCGGCUGCCACUCAGGAGGAAGAAAGCAAGACCCCGCCUUGCUGUGGGACCUGAGGAGAAGGAGAGCCACAGACCAAGGCUGCACAAGGUCCUGGAGAGCAAAAGCACAUUCUUCAUCAUGAAGGACCUUCUUGCUUUUGUGAAUGAUGAAAACUGUGCCCAGCUCAGCUCAUCACAGAUGCACCAUUUCUAGCCCUCAAAGACCGCAGUGGCUUCAGUCCUCCCAGACUCGGAGAUUCCCCCUUGCUGCUGGGAUGUCACCUGGGCAGGCGAGUCCACAUACUACAGGAGUUCCCUGGACUUCCCCUGCUUCUGGGUGGAGGCCCCUGUGCCAGAACCUCUGGAAUUUCUCACACUGGGAAAGAUCCGUGCAUGGAAACCUGGGAAAUUGCAUUGCAAACUGGCUUGUGUGGAAGAGACCAUCAGAGCGAGCACUGAAGAAGGCAGACAAUAUGGGGAAGCAGGAAUAUUAUGGGGGUGUGUCAGGUAAUCAGUUAAUAAGAGUAUUUGUGCUAUUUUUAAAAUUUUGUGGGAUUUGCAAUGUUUUUCAGUUUUUAAAUUUUUAUACUUUGUUGUGAUUUUUUUCAAAUAUGAAUGUUAUUUCAUGACUAAUGUUAUAUUUCUCAUGUUAUCAUAUUUAUUCAUAGGAAACAUCGCCUUCCAAUAAGUAAUUACAUAAGUUUCCGUCCCAGUAAGACCUGGGUUUGCCGUGCCUGUGACUCAUAGUUCUCUGGGUCGGCCGUGCUCAUCAGAGAACCGAUUGAUGGGCAGGGAGCGCCAGGGGAGGCUGGUGGUGGUCACCUGGGCCGUGUGGUUGGCAGGGUCUGUGAAGCCCAGUGGGGGCUCCCCCUUCCUUGGUCUCAGGGGGGCACUCAUCUUCCCUCGCUGUCCAGAAGGAAGAACCACCUCUGCUUCAGCUGUCUCUAGAGGCUGGUGUGGCCACAUGAGAGAAGCAGCAACCGCCUGCUCAAGGGCCUCGGGUCACCUCCAACAGGGACAGCUUCCAGGGAGGAGCCUGAUCAUGAUCCACUUCUUGUUUAGGUCUCUGCUCUGUCCCUGACGGCAGGGAAGGUCCCAAGCCUGGAGCCAUGCGUGGACGUAGUGGAGACUCAAUGCUUGCAGAAUGUGGGAGUCAUGUGGUCAAACCCUGUUACUUCACUGUGACAUUGCUGGGGUAGGCCACAUGGCCAGCCUGCACAGGAAAAGUCAUUCAAAGCCAUAAUUCAGAGUGACAUCUCACAGAUAAUGCUUACAUUCAGCUUUAAAAAGAAUAAGAGACUGCUGACAUACAAAGUCCUGUCCACUCUGUCCUUAGUGUUUAUCUGCCAUCUCUGUCUGAUCUAGCCUGCCACACUGACAUGUGAAAGUACACACAACACGCACAUGUACACACACAGAUCCACACACUGAAGUGUCCAUGCGCGCGCGCGUGCACACACACGUACAUACUACCUUGGUUGGGAUCUGGAAUGUCCCCCAGAGGCUCAUGUGUUGAAGGCAUGGUCCCCAAUGCAUCCAUAUUCUGAGAUGGGGCUUCUGGGAAGUGAUUGGCUCCUGAGGGCUCUGACCUCACCAGUGGGUUAUUGAUCUGAUGGCAUUAUUGAGAAGAAAACGUUUUAAACCAUUGAGUGGGACCUAGAUGAAGGAGCAAGUCCUUGGCAGCAUGCCCCUGGUGACAAUGUCCUGUCUCUGGUCCCUUCUCCUUCUCUGUUUCUGGCUGCGAUGAGUGGGGAGCUUCUGCUAUGAUGGUCAGCUCAGACAGAGUCAUGGAGCUAUGGGCCUUGAACUGAAUCCUCUGAAGCUGUGGCCUAAAUAAAUCUUUCUUCCUUUUAAGUUGCUUCUGUCUGGUGUUUGGGCCACUGUAACAGAGAGAUAACACACAUGUCCAUAUCUGUGUCCACACCCAGAGCCAUCCCUUUGCCCGUUCCAGCUGAGGUCAAUUGUCACCUCCAAACUCACUGUGCAGUGGGUGUGUGGGUUCAUGGUGACCCUUUUCUGUGUCAUGUGAACCCAUCAAGAUGUUUGUAUCCAGA